RNAcentral lists this ribosomal RNA (443 nucleotides) under uncultured bacterium. RNAcentral's name for it is "bacterial SSU rRNA". It matches the Rfam family "Bacterial small subunit ribosomal RNA", at positions 958 to 1398 of the family's 1533-position model. The record is from RNAcentral.
AACGCGAAGAACCUUACCAGCUUUUGACAUGUCCCGUAUGAGAAACAGAAAUGUAUCUCUUCACUUCGGGUGGCGGGAACACAGGUGCUGCAUGGCUGUCGUCAGCUCGUGUCGUGAGAUGUUGGGUUAAGUCCCGCAACGAGCGCAACCCUCGCCCUUAGUUGCCAUCAUUCAGUUGGGCACUCUAAGGGGACUGCCGGUGAUAAGCCGCGAGGAAGGUGGGGAUGACGUCAAGUCCUCAUGGCCCUUACAGGCUGGGCUACACACGUGCUACAAUGGCGGUGACAAUGGGAUGCAAUGGCGCGAGCCUGCGCAAAUCUCAAAAAGCCGUCUCAGUUCGGAUUGCACUCUGCAACUCGAGUGCAUGAAGUUGGAAUCGCUAGUAAUCGCGGAUCAGCACGCCGCGGUGAAUACGUUCCCGGGCCUUGUACACACCGAGUAUA